CUCAAGGCUGUACAUGUCCUCUGGGCAGGAUUUCUUUCUCUUGGAGCUCGUAUCUGGCACUGCUUCCCCCAGGCAAUGCUGGUGUCCAGCAGUGCUGUGAGCAGUGUGGGAUUUGCAUCCUGAGCAAUACAUGGCAGACUGGCAGGCCUGUCCAAGAACACACAGCUCUGGGCAAUCUGAACUGAUGCACUUCUCUUAGAGAUGCCAGCCAGCAUUUUUAGGAAGGUGUCAAAGCUGUCCGCUCCCGUCACUGCUUGUUCCAGCCACCUCUAGAAAUCAGCCUGGAGUUAAUUCUCUGUUGUGCUGAUGAACUUUAAAUAAGCCAGUUUCCAAACGAGAUUACCUCUGUGGCAGUACUCAAGGACCCGUACCUGCGUGCUCCCCCUUUGCAAGAGCAGGAGCAUGGUGCAGGACCUCCAUAAUACCUGCUUGUCUCAUCUCACCACAUGCAGUUGUCCUCUCCCAUGUGCUGUCUUAAUAAGUAAUUCUAAGGAACAGUUAUCAUGCAGUCAAUGAAAUGACCUCCAGAGCUGGCCUGACAAGUCUUAUGGGAAGCAGCUGAGGGAGCUGGGAUUGUUCAGUCUGGAGGAGAGGAGGCUCAGGGGAGACCUUAUCACUCUCUACAACCACUUGAAAGGAGGAUGUGGUGAGAUGGAGGUCAGCCUCUCCUCCCACUCAACACUGAUAGGAAAAGAGGCAAUGACUUUAGGUUGUUCCAGGGGAGAUUCAGGUUGGAUGAUAGGAAACAUUUCUUCUCAGAGGAGCGGUGAGGCAGCGGCACAGGCUGCCCAGGGUGGUGGUGGAGUCACCGUCCCUGGAGGUGUUCAAGAGCCGUGUGGAUGUGGCACUGAGGGCCAUGGGCAGUGGGCACGGUGUGAUGGGCUGCUGGUUGGGCUAGAUGGUCUUAGAGGUGUCUUCCAGCUACAACAAUUCUAUGAUUAUUUAGGGAAGCAUUAAAAAAAAAAAAAAUGAUAUAGUCGGCUCUCAGAAUGAAGCCGGAAGAAAACUUUGUCUACAUGAAAACUAUUCUGGCAGUGCUGCCCUUGGCUGGCCCUGCACAAACUUACCCAACCAUGUGUCUGACUCAGCCCUCCCAGAACUACCUUCAUGCCUGCCCCAGGCAUGGGAAGCAGUGCUGGAGCUGAGAGCAUUGAUGAGAUGACACAGAUUUGGAGUGUUUCUCCUAGCACUGCCUGGAUAAAAAAGGGCAGCAUCCAACAUUGGCAGAUGGGAGAGGCAAAGGGAACCCCAGGCUGGGUUUAAUGAAAAGGGCAUGGAGUGCAGGGAGCAAGGACAAGAAAGCCAGACAAGCCAGGCCAGGGGAGGAAGGUCAUUACCACCUGUCAAAAGGAUGUGGUCAUCCUCAGAGCAUGGUGCUGUGCAUGUCUCCUUUCCUUCCAGUAGCU
Molecule: long non-coding RNA, 1406 nt
Filed under: Gallus gallus (chicken)
Lineage: Eukaryota; Metazoa; Chordata; Aves; Galliformes; Phasianidae
Description: lncRNA (ENSGALG00010003319.1)
Source: RNAcentral